RNAcentral lists this ribosomal RNA (253 nucleotides) under uncultured bacterium. RNAcentral's name for it is "partial 16S ribosomal RNA". It matches the Rfam family "Bacterial small subunit ribosomal RNA", at positions 524 to 776 of the family's 1533-position model. The record is from RNAcentral.
UACGAAGGGGGCUAGCGUUGCUCGGAAUCACUGGGCGUAAAGCGCACGUAGGCGGCGCCGUAAGUCAGGGGUGAAAUCCCGGAGCUCAACUCCGGAACUGCCCUUGAAACUGCAGUGCUAGAAUCUUGGAGAGGCGAGUGGAAUUCCGAGUGUGGAGGUGAAAUUCGUAGAUAUUCGGAAGAACACCAGUGGCGAAGGCGACUCGCUGGACAAGUAUUGACGCUGAGGUGCGAAAGCGUGGGGAGCAAACAGG